GACGAACGCUGGCGGCGUGCCUAAUACAUGCAAGUCGAACGAGUGGCGGACGGGUGAGUAAUGUCUGGGAAACUGCCUGAGGGCGGGGGAUAACUAAUGGAAACGGUAGAUAAUACCGCAUACCAUCAGAUGUGCCCAGAUGGGCUUAGCUUGUUGGUGGGGUAACGGCUUACCAAGGCGACGAUCCCUAGCUGGUCUGAGAGGAUGACCAGCCACACUGGAACUGAGAAACGGUCCAUACGCCUACGGGAGGCAGCAGUGGGGAAGAUUGCACAAUGGGCGCAAGCCUGAUGCAGCCAUGCCGCGUGUAUGAAGAAGGCCUUCGGGUUGUAAAGUACUUUCAGCGGGGAGGCGUUACCCGCAGAAGAAGCACCGGCUAACUCCGUGCCAGCAGCCGCGGUAAUUC
RNAcentral lists this ribosomal RNA (406 nucleotides) under uncultured bacterium. RNAcentral's name for it is "partial 16S ribosomal RNA". It matches the Rfam family "Bacterial small subunit ribosomal RNA", at positions 28 to 526 of the family's 1533-position model. The record is from RNAcentral.